Molecule: long non-coding RNA, 213 nt
Filed under: Amborella trichopoda
Lineage: Eukaryota; Viridiplantae; Streptophyta; Magnoliopsida; Amborellales; Amborellaceae
Description: long non-coding RNA (ATRI_LNC005307)
Source: RNAcentral
AUAACUAUCAUUUAUAAUAUUAUUUAAAUCUUCCAUGCAAUUUUUUCCUUAUUACUGUUUUCCUUAUUACAUCUAAUACCCGUUUUAUACAUGUGAAUAUAAUAUUUGGUCAGAAUUUUUGAAAAUGACCAAAUUGCCCUAAUUAGAUUUUUAAUGUGAACUAAUAUGAACUUGUUUUUUGGUAGUGACCUUUUUGUUGUAAUGCAGAUUGAU